RNAcentral lists this ribosomal RNA (269 nucleotides) under uncultured Planctomycetales bacterium. RNAcentral describes it as "partial 16S ribosomal RNA". It matches the Rfam family "Bacterial small subunit ribosomal RNA", at positions 567 to 832 of the family's 1533-position model. Lineage: Bacteria; Pseudomonadati; Planctomycetota; Planctomycetia; Planctomycetales. The record is from RNAcentral.
AAGCACGUAGGUGGGUUUGUAAGUCAGACGUGAAAGCCUUCUGUUCAACGGAAGAAUUGCAUCUGAAACUACAAACCUUGAGUGUAGGAGGGGAGAAUGGAACUUCUGGUGGAGCGGUGAAAUGCGUAGAUAUCAGAAGGAACGCCGGCGGCGAAAGCGAUUCUCUGGCCUAUUACUGACACUCAGUGUGCGAAAGCUAGGGGAGCAAACGGGAUUAGAUACCCCGGUAGUCCUAGCCGUAAACGAUGGGCACUAAGUAGAGGGGUUUU